This is a long non-coding RNA of Mustela putorius furo (domestic ferret), 3397 nucleotides long. Ensembl lists it as uncharacterized. The record is from Ensembl. NCBI's taxonomy places the organism in Eukaryota, Metazoa, Chordata, Mammalia, Carnivora, Mustelidae.
CCUGAAUACUCUUGAAAGCCUCAAGAUACCAAUUGAAAUAGACAUCCCACUCACUGUGUUUCAUUUUACAGUCAGGCCUUCUAACUUGGUUCUCAGAAAAACAAGUUUGAGGAUAUCAAAAAUCCCUCAUUAUGGUCACUGGAGUUCUAAAUUAUGUAUUGUUACAUUGGUCCAAUUAAUUAAAAAUGUGCAUGAGAAGGAACUGUAAUGUUUCUUUAAUUUUUAUUUAUUUGUCAGAGAGCGCACAGGCAGGCAGAGUGGAAGGCAGAGGCAGAGGGAGAAGCAGGCUCCCUCCCAAGCAAGGAGCCAGAUGUGGGACUCCAUCCCAGAUCUCUGGGAUCAUGACUUGAGCGGAACACAGCCACUUGACCGACUGAGCCCCCCAGGCAUUCCGGAACUGUAGUUUUUAAAUGUAAAACCAGCAAGGGUCCCAGAAGGAGGAUGAUCCUGAGAAAUGUUAACAGAUUGGGACACCAUUACUCAAAAACCAGAGGUUCAGGAAGCAGAAGAGUAUUCACCAGGAAGGACAAUGCUUUCAUAAAAACGACAUCAAAAAACCAGAUCCUGAGUAAAGUCAGCCAAAAGUCGCCCUAAAGGAGGGAACUCAGAUCUGAAAGGAGACUCACUGAACCAAAUGGAAAGAGAUGACUCACAGAAGCAGAGAAAGAGAGCGCACAGGAGCUUAGGUGGAUUUUCCCAAAUUACAGUCUCCUCUAUUGAAGACCAUCAGUCUCAAAAUUCCAUUAUCCUUUGAUCGAAAGCUGCUGGAGGUCUGCCCUGAUAUCUUCCCAUUUCUAAAGUGUUGUCACUACAGUCUGAAGAAGACGGUUGUCCAAGCUCAAACCAACACAUCCACAUGUAAGGCAGCAAGACUGGAGAAAGAUGCAACUAUCCCCAGGAAUCACCCAGACACAGAGUGACAUUUUAAAGGAGAAACCACUGGAUGCCAUAGUCUUUUUAAAAAUAAUAUUAGAGGAAGAGCUCAAAGGAAUGUCUGCCCAAGCACCAGUGUCUAUAGCCUCGUAUUCAAGAAGAAUCCAGCCACUUGAAGAAGCAGCGAGCCAGUACUGCUCACUUCAGCUCCUGUCCUCUUGGAUCUACUUUGUUGUGCUCAGCAUCAGAUUCGAAACUGGUGACCUCCUGUCAGUGGCACAGCUCUUCUUACCUGUUAUGUUGUUAAAUCUGUGCUAAAUUUGUGAUGUUGCUGCUCUUUCAUAUUCAUGCUUCAUCCGCCCAGAUCAAGAGUUUCUUGAGCUCAGGGGUCACACUUUAUACUCCAUUCAGUCUUGCCUAGUUGUGUUUGUCUUGGUAAACACAGGAAAUAGCUGUUGGAUGGAUGAAUAAGAGAAUGACAAAGGCUGGGAAACAGUAGAAGGCGAACUGCUCUGCUACCUGGUAAAGAGGAUUAUGAAACUCGGGUCAGAUUAGCAGGAAAGGUGGUGUUUCAUUUGUGUCCGCAGAUAGGGAUCUUAGCCCCAGGGUUGCCGGCUUGCUUUCACUCAUUCAACAAACAUUUCUCUAAGUUUCUCCAGAAGAGCCAGGCAAGCAUUGCGGUGGCAGGCCCCCAAUAAGACAAAGUGCCUGUGGGGGUGAGGGAGACCUGCGGCAUCACAGACUCAGGGAGAUACAAUGGGGUUGGCAAUAUGAUAAUGGCAUGCACAUGGCACAUGGAGAUUCUAAAUCAGAUUGUGGCUUCCAGAGAAGCUUCUGGAAAGAGAAGCAUUUUUAUUCAUGUGUUCAAGGAUGAAUGAGUGUUGGCUAGAGGAGACUGAUUAGGAAAAGCAUUACAGGGAGAAGAACUAGCAUGGGAAUGUGUUCUGUGCCAUAAAAUAGAAGGUUACAUUGAGAACUAAAGUCUCAGCUGAAAUGGUAGCUGUGCCUAGAGGUGAAGUCAGAGAACUAGGCUAGAAUAGCCUUGCAGAGGACCUUGUGGCAAUAUGAUUUAGUAUUUCAGAGUGGAGGUUUAGAAAUCAGACAGAACUGAGUUCAAAUCCUUGCUCUGGUACUUACAAUCCAUGUAACUAACUGAUUUUUUUUUUUAAUUCCUCGAAGUCUUGGUUUCCUUAGCACAGUGUCUAGCUGUAUCACUUAUCUAUUGUUACAUAAGAAAUUAUCCCAAAUCAUAACAGCUUAAAAUAGUACACAUUUAUUAAGUUCUCACAGGUCCAGAAUCUGGUCUUCAGCUUCAGGGUCUCCCACGAGGCUGUAAUGAAGUAUCAGCCAGAGAUGAGGUAUUAUCUCAAGACGUGAGAAGGAUCCAUUUCCAAGCUCACUUACAUGAUUGUUGAGGGAAUUCAACAAUGGAUGGCCAUUGGCCAGAGGCUGCCCUCAGUUCCUUGACAUGUGGGCCUCCCCAGCAUAUCAGCUUGCAUCAUCAGUCAGUGACAGAGGGCCUGUGACCAAGACAGAUGUAGCCUAAUCAGCUAAGUGACUUCUUGUCACCAUUGCCACAUUCUGUAGAGUAAAAGUCAUUGGGCCAUCCCACACUCCAGGGAAGGGGAUUAUACAAGGGAAUGAACACCAUAAAAUGGGGAUCUUUGGGUGUCAUUUUAAGCCAGUAGCCUAUAGCUGGUAGCCUAUGUUAGUAGCUGAUAGCUUAUAUUACCACCAAAUAAAUGUCAGCUUUUUAAAAUUAAACUCAGUUGAUAGUUUUGGAAAACCUAGUGAAAGCUGGUGAAGGAUUUUAUAACAAAGAGUAACUUUAGGUGACCUUGGCUAGGUCAAAUCAUUUCACAUCAUGUCUUCGAGCCUUCCUUUCCUCCUAAGUAUGGUGAAAAUAUCUAUCUCUCAUAGAAAUGAGAACAUAUAUGUGCAAGCAGAAAUACACUUUGGUAAAAACAAGCAUACAACUCUUCACAGUGGGAGGAAGCUUACUGCCUUGGGCCAGCUUUCCACUUUGCACUGAUACUAGGACUCUCACAGUUUGAUAUCUUCAGAGUUUUCAGGGCUUGACCUGUGGGCCCAGAAGGAUUUGUAUAACUGGAAUAAACACCCACAAAAAGAAAUUUGUCUUUUGAACAUCGCUUAAGGCAUUUCCAAGAGUUUGCUUUUUUCCAUCUUUUUAAAUACCUUUGCUUCCAAGGACCCCAUGGGGGCUAGAGAGAGAAAACAGACUAUCUGGGAAAUUUCAAGCUCUUGAUAAUAAAAGUGGUAAUAAAAUCUCGUCUGGCUCCUGAUGCUUCACAGAGUGGUUGUUUGUGGUGGAUGGGGUUCCCCCACAUCUAGCAGUUGGUUUCCAGUCCCAGGGAGCGGCUCGAGUUACCACCCCCUUGCCCACUGCAAGGGCAGCUCCCUGCCUGCAAGGUACCCCCACCCUGGCGCCUCACCCAUUUCCGCUGCCCAAAUGGGAUACUUCAUUCCCUGCUCCACAUGGAGCCCGUCACACACACAGGAGUGU